AGGGGAUUAGUGGCGAACGGGUGAGUAACACGUGGGCAAUCUGCCCUGCACUCUGGGACAAGCCCUGGAAACGGGGUCUAAUACCGGAUACUGAUCAUCUUGGGCAUCCUUGGUGAUCGAAAGCUCCGGCGGUGCAGGAUGAGCCCGCGGCCUAUCAGCUUGUUGGUGAGGUAACGGCUCACCAAGGCGACGACGGGUAGCCGGCCUGAGAGGGCGACCGGCCACACUGGGACUGAGACACGGCCCAGACUCCUACGGGAGGCAGCAGUGGGGAAUAUUGCACAAUGGGCGCAAGCCUGAUGCAGCGACGCCGCGUGAGGGAUGACGGCCUUCGGGUUGUAAACCUCUUUCAGCAGGGAAGAAGCGCAAGUGACGGUACCUGCAGAAGAAGCGCCGGCUAACUACGUGCCAGCAGCCGCGGUAAUACGUAGGGCGCGAGCGUUGUCCGGAAUUAUUGGGCGUAAAGAGCUCGUAGGCGGCUUGUCGCGUCGGUUGUGAAAGCCCGGGGCUUAACCCCGGGUCUGCAGUCGAUACGGGCAGGCUAGAGUUCGGUAGGGGAGAUCGGAAUUCCUGGUGUAGCGGUGAAAUGCGCAGAUAUCAGGAGGAACACCGGUGGCGAAGGCGGAUCUCUGGGCCGAUACUGACGCUGAGGAGCGAAAGCGUGGGGAGCGAACAGG
Molecule: ribosomal RNA, 677 nt
Filed under: Streptomyces sp. MJN18
Lineage: Bacteria; Bacillati; Actinomycetota; Actinomycetes; Kitasatosporales; Streptomycetaceae
Description: bacterial SSU rRNA
Rfam family: Bacterial small subunit ribosomal RNA
Source: RNAcentral